RNAcentral lists this ribosomal RNA (826 nucleotides) under Escherichia coli. RNAcentral describes it as "partial 23S ribosomal RNA". It matches the Rfam family "Bacterial large subunit ribosomal RNA", at positions 1 to 867 of the family's 2925-position model. The record is from RNAcentral. Lineage: Bacteria; Pseudomonadati; Pseudomonadota; Gammaproteobacteria; Enterobacterales; Enterobacteriaceae.
GGUUAAGCGACUAAGCGUACACGGUGGAUGCCCUGGCAGUCAGAGGCGAUGAAGGACGUGCUAAUCUGCGAUAAGCGUCGGUAAGGUGAUAUGAACCGUUAUAACCGGCGAUUUCCGAAUGGGGAAACCCAGUGUGAUUCGUCACACUAUCAUUAACUGAAUCCAUAGGUUAAUGAGGCGAACCGGGGGAACUGAAACAUCUAAGUACCCCGAGGAAAAGAAAUCAACCGAGAUUCCCCCAGUAGCGGCGAGCGAACGGGGAGGAGCCCAGAGCCUGAAUCAGUGUGUGUGUUAGUGGAAGCGUCUGGAAAGGCGCGCGAUACAGGGUGACAGCCCCGUACACAAAAAUGCACAUGCUGUGAGCUCGAUGAGUAGGGCGGGACACGUGGUAUCCUGUCUGAAUAUGGGGGGACCAUCCUCCAAGGCUAAAUACUCCUGACUGACCGAUAGUGAACCAGUACCGUGAGGGAAAGGCGAAAAGAACCCCGGCGAGGGGAGUGAAAAAGAACCUGAAACCGUGUACGUACAAGCAGUGGGAGCACAGAGCAAUCUGUGUGACUGCGUACCUUUUGUAUAAUGGGUCAGCGACUUAUAUUCUGUAGCAAGGUUAACCGAAUAGGGGAGCCGAAGGGAAACCGAGUCUUAACUGGGCGUUAAGUUGCAGGGUAUAGACCCGAAACCCGGUGAUCUAGCCAUGGGCAGGUUGAAGGUUGGGUAACACUAACUGGAGGACCGAACCGACUAAUGUUGAAAAAUUAGCGGAUGACUUGUGGCUGGGGGUGAAAGGCCAAUCAAACCGGGAGAUAGCUGGUUCUCCCCGAAAGCU